UCGAACGGUAACGGGCCCGCAAGGGUGCCGACGAGUGGCGGACGGGUGAGGAACACAUCGGAAUUUGCCCAGUCGUGGGGGAUAACGUAGGGAAACUUACGCUAAUACCGCAUACGACCGGAAGGUGAAAGCGGGGGAUCGCAAGACCUCGCGCGAUUGGAUGAGCCGAUGUCGGAUUAGCUAGUUGGUAGGGUAAAGGCCUACCAAGGCGACGAUCCGUAGCUGGUCUGAGAGGAUGAUCAGCCACACUGGGACUGAGACACGGCCCAGACUCCUACGGGAGGCAGCAGUGGGGAAUAUUGGACAAUGGGGGCAACCCUGAUCCAGCAAUGCCGCGUGUGUGAAGAAGGCCUUCGGGUUGUAAAGCACUUUUGUCCGGAACGAAACGUGUCGGGUGAAUAUCCCGGCAAACUGACGGUACCGGAAGAAUCAGCACCGGCUAACUUCGUGCCAGCAGCCGCGGUAAUACGAAGGGUGCAAGCGUUACUCGGAAUUACUGGGCGUAAAGCGUGCGUAGGUGGUUUUUUAAGUCCGUUGUGAAAGCCCUGGGCUCAACCUGGGAAUGGCAGUGGAUACUGGAAAGCUAGAGUGCGGUAGAGGGUAGUGGAAUUCCCGGUGUAGCAGUGAAAUGCGUAGAGAUCGGGAGGAACACCAGUGGCGAAGGCGGCUACCUGGACCAGCACUGACACUGAGGCACGAAAGCGUGGGGAGCAAACAGGAUUAGAUACCCUGGUAGUCCACGCCCUAAACGAUGCGAACUGGACGUUGGGAGCAACUUGGCUCUCAGUGUCGAAGCUAACGCGUUAAGUUCGCCGCCUG
Molecule: ribosomal RNA, 819 nt
Filed under: uncultured bacterium
Lineage: Bacteria
Description: bacterial SSU rRNA
Rfam family: Bacterial small subunit ribosomal RNA
Source: RNAcentral